This 478-nucleotide ribosomal RNA is filed under the name uncultured bacterium. RNAcentral's name for it is "partial 16S ribosomal RNA". It matches the Rfam family "Bacterial small subunit ribosomal RNA", at positions 28 to 507 of the family's 1533-position model. The record is from RNAcentral.
GACGAACGCUGGCGGCGUGCUUAACGCAUGCAAGUCGAACGUGAUUUUUGUGGAAAUUCUUUCGGGAAUGGAAAUGAAAUGAAAGUGGCGAACGGGUGAGUAACACGUGAGCAACCUACCUUACACAGGGGGAUAGCCGUUGGAAACGACGAUUAAUACCGCAUGAGACCACAGAAUCGCAUGAUAUAGGGGUCAAAGAUUUAUCGGUGUAAGAAGGGCUCGCGUCUGAUUAGCUAGUUGGAAGGGUAAAGGCCUACCAAGGCGACGAUCAGUAGCCGGUCUGAGAGGAUGAACGGCCACAUUGGAACUGAGACACGGUCCAAACUCCUACGGGAGGCAGCAGUGGGGAAUAUUGCACAAUGGGGGGAACCCUGAUGCAGCGACGCCGCGUGAGCGAAGAAGGUUUUCGAAUCGUAAAGCUCUGUCCUAUGAGAAGAUAAUGACGGUAUCAUAGGAGGAAGCCCCGGCUAAAUACGUG